Molecule: long non-coding RNA, 525 nt
Organism: Brassica oleracea var. oleracea
Lineage: Eukaryota; Viridiplantae; Streptophyta; Magnoliopsida; Brassicales; Brassicaceae
Exons: 3
Source: RefSeq, a predicted model, not a curated record
AGCAGCAACAAAUGAAGAGCUAAACGCCAAAGAAGAGGAACUUCCCAAAGGAAACCCACUGCUUGACAACACUCCAACUGUGUUUAGUGUCAAAAGAAGGCUAGCAUCUUUUGAAGUGGGAUGAUGAUGUGGUAUCGAGAAUCAGGCACGUGGGGAAAUGAAAUUAAGCACCUAAGCGCUUCAUCAUGCAGGAGGUCCUUGAGAUAAAAGGCAAACGAGGAAAGUAGGCUUUUUUAAUUAAAAUGUCUACCACCAGAAGCAAUCAAUCUGAUUGGACCGUAAGAAUCUUCAACCACAGACGGUAAUGUUUUUUUCAAAUACAUAUACUAACCAGCUAUAGCUUUACAUCAAUAAAUUCAGGACAGUGAUCGAAAUGUUGUCCCAGUUCAUACACAUGCAUUUGGUUUCUUUAAUCGGGCAUUGCAGUGAGAACAAUAAAAGGACCAUUGUGCAUGACUUGGAUCGCCCAAGGUUGAGCUGGAGACAGAAACUUGAGAUAUGUCUUGGUGCAGCUAGAGGCCUGCA